GACGAACGCUGGCGGCGUGCUUAACACAUGCAAGUCGAACGGUGAAGGGGUCUGCUUUUGUGGGCCCUGGAUGAGUGGCGAACGGGUGAGUAACACGUGAGUAACCUGCCCCCUUCUUCUGGAUAACCGCAUGAAAGUGUGGCUAAUACGGGAUAUUCUGGGUCUGUCGCAUGAUGGGUCUGGGAAAGAUUGCGCCUUUGGGUGUUUUUGGUGGGGGAUGGGCUCGCGGCCCAUCAGCUUGUUGGUGGGGUGAUGGCCUACCAAGGCGGUGACGGGUAGCCGGCCUGAGAGGGUGGACGGUCACACUGGGACUGAGACACGGCCCAGACUCCUACGGGAGGCAGCAGUGGGGAAUAUUGCACAAUGGGCGCAAGCCUGAUGCAGCGACGCCGCGUGAGGGAUGGAGGCCUUCGGGUUGUAAACCUCUUUCGCCAGUGAAGCAGGCCUGCUCCUUGUGGGUGGGUUGACGGUAGCUGGAGAAGAAGCGCCGGCUAACUACGUG
Molecule: ribosomal RNA, 502 nt
Filed under: uncultured bacterium
Lineage: Bacteria
Description: partial 16S ribosomal RNA
Rfam family: Bacterial small subunit ribosomal RNA
Source: RNAcentral